UCGAGAAUCUUCCGCAAUGGGCGAAAGCCUGACGGAGCGACGCCGCGUGGUUGAUGAAGUCCUUAGGGACGUAAAAACCUUUUAUGAUCAGGAAAGUUUAUUGAUCCGAUCAUGAAUAAGGGGCUCCAAACUCUGUGCCAGCAGGAGCGGUAAUACAGAGGCCCCAAGCGUUAUCCGGAAUCACUGGGCGUAAAGGGUGUGUAGGCGGUCUUGUUAGUCUCUCGUUAAAGCUCCCGACCUAAUCGGGAAAAUGCGAGGGAAACGGCAGGACUACGAGGAUGUGAGAGGUAUAUGGAACUCAUGGAGUAGGGGUGAAAUCCGUUGAUAUCAUGGGGAACACCAAAAGCGAAGGCAAUAUACUGGCGCAUUCCUGACGCUGAAACACGAAAGCGUAGGUAGC
RNAcentral lists this ribosomal RNA (400 nucleotides) under uncultured bacterium. RNAcentral describes it as "bacterial SSU rRNA". It matches the Rfam family "Bacterial small subunit ribosomal RNA", at positions 355 to 769 of the family's 1533-position model. The record is from RNAcentral.